This 238-nucleotide ribosomal RNA is filed under the name Stenotrophomonas sp. Ca7-2J03. RNAcentral describes it as "partial 16S ribosomal RNA". It matches the Rfam family "Bacterial small subunit ribosomal RNA", at positions 64 to 301 of the family's 1533-position model. Lineage: Bacteria; Pseudomonadati; Pseudomonadota; Gammaproteobacteria; Lysobacterales; Lysobacteraceae. The record is from RNAcentral.
GAACNGCAGCACAGAGGAGCUUGCCCUUGGGUGGCGAGUGGCGGACGGGUGAGGAAUACAUCGGAAUCUACUCUGUCGUGGGGGAUKACGUAGGGAAACUUACGCUAAUACCGCAUACGACCUACGGGUWAAAGCAGGGGAUCUUCGGACCUUGCGCGAUUGAAUGAGCCGAUGUCGRAUGCUAGUUGGCGGGGUNAAGGCCCACNAAGGCGNCGAUCCGUAGCUGGUCUGAGAGGAU